This 522-nucleotide ribosomal RNA is filed under the name uncultured bacterium. RNAcentral's name for it is "bacterial SSU rRNA". It matches the Rfam family "Bacterial small subunit ribosomal RNA", at positions 8 to 518 of the family's 1533-position model. The record is from RNAcentral.
AGAGUUUGAUCAUGGCUCAGGAUGAACGCUGGCGGCGUGCUUAACACAUGCAAGUCGAACGAAGCGACUUAUACGAUCCUUCGGGGUGACGAUUUGUUGACUGAGUGGCGGACGGGUGAGUAACGCGUGGGUAACCUGCCUUGUACGAGGGGGACAACAGUUGGAAACGACUGCUAAUACCGCAUAAGCGCACAGCUUCGCAUGAAGCAGUGUAGUAAAAAGUUUUUCGGUAACAAGAUCGGACCCGCGUCUGAUUAGCUAGUUGGUGAGGUAACGGCCCACCAAGGCGACGAUCAGUAGCCGACCUGAGAGGGUGACCGGCCACAUUGGGACUGAGACACGGACCCAAACUCCUACGGGAGGCAGCAGGUGGGGAAUAUUGCACAACGGGACGAAAGCCUGAUGCAGACCGACGCCGCGUGAGCGAAAGAAGUUAUUUCGGUAUAGUAAAGCUCUAUCAGCAGGGAAGAUAAUGACGGUACCUGACUAAGAAGCACCGGCUAAAUACGUGCCAGCAGCCGC